CCUACGGGCGGCAGCAGUGAGGAAUAUUGGUCAAUGGGCGCGACCCUGAACCAGCCAAGUAGCGUGAAGGAUGACUGCCCUACGGGUUGUAAACUUCUUUUAUAAAGGAAUAAAGUGAGGCACGUGUGCCUUUUUGUAUGUACUUUAUGAAUAAGGAUCGGCUAACUCCGUGCCAGCAGCCGCGGUAAUACGGAGGGUCCGAGCGUUAUACGGAGUUAUUGGGGGUAAAGGGAGCGUAGAUGGGUUGUUAAGUCAGUUGUGAAAGUUUGCGGCGUAACCAUAGAACUGCAUUUGAUACUGGUAGUCUAGAGUACAGUUGAGGUAGGCGGAAUUCGUGGUGUAGCGGUGAAAUGCUUAGAGAUCAAGAAGAACUCCGAUUGCGAAGGCAGCUUACUAGAC
This 399-nucleotide ribosomal RNA is filed under the name uncultured bacterium. Its description in RNAcentral is "partial 16S ribosomal RNA". It matches the Rfam family "Bacterial small subunit ribosomal RNA", at positions 338 to 734 of the family's 1533-position model. The record is from RNAcentral.